UACGUAGGGUGCGAGCGUUGCCCGGAUUUACUGGGCGUAAAGAGCGCGCAGGCGGUCGUUCAAGUCGCGUGUGAAAGCCCCCGGCUCAACUGGGGAGGGUCACGCGAUACUGAUCGACUCGAAGGCAGGAGAGGGAAGUGGAAUUCCCGGUGUAGUGGUGAAAUGCGUAGAUAUCGGGAGGAACACCAGUGGCGAAGGCGACUUCCUGGCCUGUUCUUGACGCUGAGGCGCGAAAGCUAGGGGAGCAAACGGG
Molecule: ribosomal RNA, 253 nt
Filed under: uncultured bacterium
Lineage: Bacteria
Description: partial 16S ribosomal RNA
Rfam family: Bacterial small subunit ribosomal RNA
Source: RNAcentral